CUCCACUGCAGAGAGGCCUUGGAAGAUAUAGAUUUUAAGCUGAGGAGAGAAGACUUGACUCUUAAGAGAAGAGAGUCAUUGGAGAAACAGAAAAGCCUACUAGCAAUGCAAGCUGAAGCUUAUGAAAAAGAACUUAAAAUUCUUCAUCAGGAGAAUCGCAAAAUUGUAGCACUCUCGGCAGCUGUUGUUUUGCUGGUGGUGGUGAUUUAUACCUGCUGGACAAUGUAGAAGCUUUUUUUCCCUUCACACACCCCCAAGAUGUAAUGACUUGACAUUGUUAAAUCUCUUCCUCUCCUCACCAAACUGCCUCAUCAGUGCCAUUUCCAUAUCAUUCAGACACCUCUGACUUACCACAGUCAACCAUCAUCA
Molecule: long non-coding RNA, 369 nt
Filed under: Pogona vitticeps (central bearded dragon)
Lineage: Eukaryota; Metazoa; Chordata; Lepidosauria; Squamata; Agamidae
Description: lncRNA (ENSPVIG00000001884.1)
Source: RNAcentral